This 305-nucleotide ribosomal RNA is filed under the name uncultured bacterium. RNAcentral describes it as "bacterial SSU rRNA". It matches the Rfam family "Bacterial small subunit ribosomal RNA", at positions 334 to 656 of the family's 1533-position model. The record is from RNAcentral.
UCCUCCUACGGGGCGCAGCAGUGGGGGAUAUUGCACAAUGGGGGAAACCCUGAUGCAGCAACGCCGCGUGGGUGAAGAAGGUCUUCGGAUUGUAAAGCUCUGUUCUUGGUGAAGAUAAUGACGGUAGCCAAGGAGAAAGCUCCGGCUAACUACGUGCCAGCAGCCGCGGUAAUACGUAGGUGGCAAGCGUUAUCCGGAUUUAUUGGGUGUAAAGGGCGUGUAGGCGGGAAUGCAAGUCAGAAGUGAAAACUAUGGGCUCAACCCAUAGCCUGCAUUUGAAACUGUAUUUCUUGAGUGCUGGAGAG